Molecule: long non-coding RNA, 4149 nt
Organism: Apis cerana (Asiatic honeybee)
Lineage: Eukaryota; Metazoa; Arthropoda; Insecta; Hymenoptera; Apidae
Source: RefSeq, a predicted model, not a curated record
UGUGUAAAGGAGCAUAUCGAAUAUGCGACAUUCUCUCACGCGAUUGACGCGACACUUUGUGGAUCGUAAGAUCAGUCGGUAAUUUCUUACUAAUCGCUUCGAUUUUUUUUUCUGUACUACCGGCGGAAAAGUGAAUUGCGUCUUGUUGUAAAUCGACUGUAAUCAUUGCAUUUCUCGCGAAUAUACUUUUACAGAAUUGUCAAUCUCUGUGAAAUUUCUGUGUGAUUUUAUGUGUUGGAGAUGAUUGAUUCGAAAGUGGUAUUGCGAAUAAAGAUGGUUCAAGGAAAUAGAGAAGGUUAGGAAAUAGAAUCGAUUAUGGUUGAAAUAAAUUUAUGCUGAAUCGUAAUUCUCUGCUGCAAUACAAGCAUUGAUAUAAGAUAUUUAAAUGAUAAGAAUGUACGAUAAAUAUUUUCUAAAUAAUGUUUUAUUUUUUGGUCAAGAAGAUAACAGAGAAAAUUUACGAGAUAGAAGUCGAAGUCAGAUUGUGAACAGAUGGCAAUUUGUAUUAGAUGGAAAAAAUGAGGAAGGGCUGGAUCAAAGUCCUUGCGGUUGGUAUGUGCAAAAUACCAAGCGUAGCUGCACGCACGGCCCGGAAUGUCAGGGCACGGAAUUUCUCGACGAUUUCCCUCAACUGUUCUCGUAAUAUCCUCAAGCUAGAAAAUUUAUAUAUAUUUCUUAAAUCAUAGAAUCAUUCUUGCGUCGAUUUAUCUAACCUUCCACCAUCGUAAGUAUAAUCUAAAAGCGACAAAGUUGAAAGAACAUCGAAUACAUUUACGUCGUUCUAUCAUUAUUGAGCUAUUAAAACAUACUUUACAAAAAAUAUAUGGCUCGAUUCAUAGUUGCACGUCAGGUUUCAGAAGAAACAGAUGUCUGAACGAAAGCGAGCAAGUGGCUAAUUGACUAACGAGCUAUUCGUGGCUCGUACAACAUUAGCCGUCAUAGUCAGAAAAUAUUGAGAGAUUGAGAAGAGAGAAAAAACAAGCAAAGCAACCGAUACGAAUAGGAGAAACACGAAGAAGAAAAAGAAGAUCGUCUGAAGAAAAGAGAAUCGCGAAGAUGGGCGAUCCUGUUCGAGUAGUGGACUGCUGGGCCAGUGGUGGUUUUAUUGCUUUUAAUGUAAUCGAGCCGGGCGUCCUUUAUCAUCGCGAGAAAAAAUGGCCAUUUAAUCACGGCGUUUCCCGACGUGGGGUCCGUGCGCACCCCUCCGGCGCGCCGCCUCGAGAAUCAUUCCGAUAUUAAUAGUGGAUGGUUUGACCGCGUAAUAUGAGGAAUCGUUGGCGCGCGCGUAUAAUAUCACUCGGUCGUGCCAAGUGGCUCGAGAAACACGCAUGUUACACGGCCGAGAAUGACAAAUUAAUCGUCUGCUUGGUUGGCCCUGCUCAACGCAUCGAAUCCUAUAAUAUGUCUGAGAAAUGAUAUUCAAUGGAAGAAACAUUUCGUUCGAUUCUGAUCUAUACGAAUCGUACUAUACGGAAAGAAAUUGGUUUGUAAUUGAGAAUUUUAGGUUAAGUUUGGAAUAUUAAUAGAUAUUUCAUAUAUAUUAAAUCCAUGCUAUAGAAUAUUUGAUAUGAUUUCUUUACUACACAGUGUACCAGAAAUACAAAGUGUACCACAUAUCUAACUAGGAAUCUCAUCAACUGAUCACCUGCAAUCACAUUUCCAAAUAGAACAUCACGGUCGGGUGGCGCUGCAGUCGAGGAGGAUUGCGGCAGCUCGAGCCCGUUACAAAGUCGGCAAUUAUCGAGGAGGAGUGGCCCCAGUCGACCUCUUUGAAAACGCGCGUUACUCGAUGUCCUCUCCUCCGUCACGAUGGAUGCACUCGCGGUAUGCCGUUGAUGUCACGUGGACUGGGCAGCGUCGGGUCUCGUAGGUUAAUUUCACCGCGAUAAGAUCGUAUGAGCGGAUUACGCGGCGGAACACGAUCGAACACCUGUAACGAACAUGAUUUUCUUAUGAACGGUGGAACGGUCCGCGUCCGGUUUUCCCUCUAUUCGAGAGUUACACGAUACGCCCAAUAUUUUCUCGAUAUAUAUCCAUAUGAGUAGAUGAGAGGCGGAGAAGAGGAACUCGCCAGGACAUGCGCGCGAUUUUUUCAACACGCGAUGGGGAUUUCAGAUUAUACGAUCGGGGUUAAUGACUGAGGUGUAGCCGAGCGGUCUAGGAAUACCGCUCUGAGUUUUCUUAUCGAUUACAUCUUGAUUAGGGAAAGCAAUGGACCGUAUGAAACUGUUGCACGAGCAUUGGAAAUUCGUAAUACGCCUUGAUAUGCUUGAACUGGAAACGAUUUAAAUCGUGGAAUUUAUGGAAUUAAUGGUAUUCCAAUCGAUGUAUGAUUAUAUCUUUAUUGCAUGUAUAAUAAUUGAUUUAUUUUUAUAACGUAAAAAUGUCUUCACGUUCUCAUAUUUCUUAAUAUAUAUAUAUAUAUAUAUAUUUAUUUAUUAUGUUAAAAGCAACACUUAUUUAUUAGCUAUUGGAAGUUAUAGGAUUAAUGGAAAAAGAAUAGUCUUUUACUAGAAGAAAUUAGAAGAAAAAAAUACAAAUUAUCUUCCAUACGAAUUAUAAUUAAAUGAUAUUCAUAUUUGUUUAAACAUUCUUACACUUUUUAUUCAAAAAUGUAUUAUCACGAUUCAUAAAAUAACAUCGUUUAUAGAAAUAUCUUAUUUAAAAAUGAUAUUUAAAAACAGGUGAUGAACAACUAUUUGGAAAAAAUGAAUUUGGAAAAUCCGACCACCCACAGCAAAUUCGUGUAGGCGUUGCAUCGAUGCUUGGCCGAGCGCAAAUAGUGAGGGAGAACCGGUACUCUUCAAGAGUCGUCAUUCUAUUCGAAACACUUUCUCUGGAUCGAUUGAUCCUGAGGACACGAUUCGAUCCAGUUCAAUGCUUAUGUUCAUUGUUCCAUUAUUUUUCAUUCUCCAAUAUAUCAAUAAUCAUACAUUCAUUUUAAUUUACAUAUAUUCUUAAUAUUGCAAUUUUGAUUUUGAUUGAAAUGGAAUUACAAAAUGUUUUUAAAAAUUAGAUAAUAUAUAUGUAUAUAUAAUUCAAGUGAAAUAUUGAACAUAACCUCAACGGAAAAGGAUUAAUUAAAAUCGAAGACGAAGGAGAAUUCACCCGGUGCACAAGGCUACGAUAUUCCUGUUCCUUUUGUCCGCACGGAUCGCUGCUUCGAGCAGCCGAGCUGAAAGUGCCAACGAUUAAUAACAUGAUACGCACGCAGUGAGGAUCUCUCGUAUUCGCCAUUAGUCGUAGCCGCGCUCUUAUCGCGGCACGGUCUCUCCACGGUUACGGUCACGAUUUCGGAGACAUUGGUGCGCAACCGACCGUAUAAUUUACUGCAAAUCAGCGUCAAUUUAGCGAUACUCGACUAGAUCAUCGUCAACCUCUUUUAUCUGUUCUGUUCGAAUAGAUAGAGCUCAUUGGAAUUAUGAGAAAAGCGUAUUAUUGGAACGAGUUUUUAAGAGUAUCAGUAAUAUAAUUAAUUAGAAAAGAGAGGAAAAUCCACACAGAAAUAAUAUGAAGUCGUUAGUAGCAAGAUACCAAUGGUAGAAAGGAAAAUAUAAGAGACGAGUGUACAUAGGGAUUAAAUCGUGUACGAGGCUCCACCUGUGAACAGCAUUGCACUCGACCGUUUGCAAGUCCAAUGCUACGACUUUUCAUGCAACAUUGUGAGGAACGUACGUAGCGCUUCCGUAAUAUUACCUCAAAGAUUAUACGGAACAGGAUACUUUUAUUAAAAUCCGAGACAGAAAUCUCGUCAGCAGUCGUAAACUUCAAAGUACCGACGAUAAGAACUGUGGGGGACGAAUCGAUAUCAAGGCGGUGUCCUAUAGGGAAAUUCUCUUUCAUGGAAUGCGGACUCAUUGCCCGACGUUAUAAAAUUAAGCAUCGCGUUUCAACAUGCAAUCGCGCUGUAUGCUACCAGUUUCUCGCGAUGAUUCGUUCACAGGAGAAUGCAAGCUGAUUGCCUGGAACAUUAUGACUGUGGUAUACAGAAUGAAUAUUUGCUAAUUUUUAAUUUAAUAAUUUUUAUUUAACUUAUCUCUGUUGAUUGGGAAAGUCGAAUUAACUCGUUAUCUAUAUUGUUAAUAUUAUAAUAAUUAUACAUACAUAUAUAUGUAUAUGCAUAUAUUAUUAAAAUUGAGAUUAAUACAA